UACGGAGGGUGCAAGCGUUAUCCGGAUUCACUGGGUUUAAAGGGUGCGUAGGUGGGCAGGUAAGUCAGUGGUGAAAUCUCCGGGCUUAACCCGGAAACUGCCAUUGAUACUAUCUGUCUUGAAUACCGUGGAGGUGAGCGGAAUAUGUCAUGUAGCGGUGAAAUGCUUAGAUAUGACAUAGAACACCAAUUGCGAAGGCAGCUCACUACGCGAAUAUUGACACUGAGGAGCGAAAGCCAGGGGAGCAAACGGG
RNAcentral lists this ribosomal RNA (253 nucleotides) under uncultured bacterium. RNAcentral describes it as "partial 16S ribosomal RNA". It matches the Rfam family "Bacterial small subunit ribosomal RNA", at positions 524 to 776 of the family's 1533-position model. The record is from RNAcentral.